RNAcentral lists this ribosomal RNA (465 nucleotides) under Vreelandella stevensii. RNAcentral's name for it is "partial 16S ribosomal RNA". It matches the Rfam family "Bacterial small subunit ribosomal RNA", at positions 338 to 795 of the family's 1533-position model. Lineage: Bacteria; Pseudomonadati; Pseudomonadota; Gammaproteobacteria; Oceanospirillales; Halomonadaceae. The record is from RNAcentral.
CCUACGGGAGGCAGCAGUGGGGAAUAUUGGACAAUGGGGGCAACCCUGAUCCAGCCAUGCCGCGUGUGUGAAGAAGGCCCUCGGGUUGUAAAGCACUUUCAGUGAGGAAGAACGCCUGGUGGUUAAUACCCAUCAGGAAAGACAUCACUCACAGAAGAAGCACCGGCUAACUCCGUGCCAGCAGCCGCGGUAAUACGGAGGGUGCGAGCGUUAAUCGGAAUUACUGGGCGUAAAGCGCGCGUAGGUGGCUUGAUAAGCCGGUUGUGAAAGCCCCGGACUCAACCUGGGAACGGCAUCCGGAACUGUCAAGCUAGAGUGCAGGAGAGGAAGGUAGAAUUCCCGGUGUAGCGGUGAAAUGCGUAGAGAUCGGGAGGAAUACCAGUGGCGAAGGCGGCCUUCUGGACUGACACUGACACUGAGGUGCGAAAGCGUGGGUAGCAAACAGGAUUAGAUACCCGUGUAGUC